UGGCAGGUUUUGUUCAGU
RNAcentral lists this ribosomal RNA (18 nucleotides) under Marchesinia brachiata. RNAcentral's name for it is "partial 18S ribosomal RNA". The record is from RNAcentral. Lineage: Eukaryota; Viridiplantae; Streptophyta; Jungermanniopsida; Porellales; Lejeuneaceae.